Long non-coding RNA from Sebastes umbrosus (honeycomb rockfish), 737 nucleotides. RefSeq lists it as uncharacterized. The transcript has 3 exons. The record is from RefSeq and is a predicted model, not a curated record. Lineage: Eukaryota; Metazoa; Chordata; Actinopteri; Perciformes; Sebastidae.
GACAAACGCUAACCUUACUAACGUUGGUCGCUUGACCGUUGGCUGGUUGACCGUUGGCUGGAUUGCUAGGCAGUCAAACGCUAACCAUAGUAACGUUGGUCGCUUGACCGUUAUCUGGUUGAGCGUUGGCUGGUUGACCGUUGGCUGGGUUGCUAGGCAGGCAAACGCUAACCAUAGUAACAUUGAAGAUGACGUUAGCUUAGGUAAAGGUUUGCACAAUAAAUGGACAAAGGUACAUUUGGAAAAUUAUUUGACGUCAAACCCCUACACGCUGUUAACACUUCGCGCGAAUUCGAUUUGUGGUGACUGGCAAAACCCCUUGGCAAAACCCACCAACCAUUUCCUUGUUGGCUACUGGUGAGCUACCGAUGCUACCCCGGUUAGCAUCACAUCAGAGAGUCCGUGGGAAGACGCAUCCCUCUCUCUCUCUCUUUGAAACAGUGGAGCCAGAGGUGUGAGCUGUUGGGAGGCAGCACUAAGAAUAGCACACAUGCCGGCGUGGUCAGUGGGGAGCUGAACCUCGGCUUUAGGGCCAGAGCCCUCCGCUCCUUUAAAAAAGGGUGCGUGGCUUGUCUGCUAUUACUGGCCCACUGAUGUGAGAUCGGAUAAAAGUUGAUGCUGCUGGCUGUGGGCUGUUUCCGCUGGUUGGAGAGGGGCAAAGCAUUGAUGACGGAUGUCUUCGCUGGGACUUGAGAGACUCCGUAAUGGGUGGUCGCAUUGGAUACGUCAGUGGCCUU